Long non-coding RNA from Gasterosteus aculeatus aculeatus (three-spined stickleback), 2954 nucleotides. Lineage: Eukaryota; Metazoa; Chordata; Actinopteri; Perciformes; Gasterosteidae. The record is from Ensembl.
GGAAGGAAGCGGAAGGAGACCUCAGCAGCAAACAUGUGACAAGACGCACUCAUGGAGGUGUGCAGGAAGACAAAAGAGGUUGCUCAUGUUCUUCUUUGCCGUAAGAGACGGUCUUGCUCUCCUAUGGCGAGGUUGCCGCACAAGGUGGCUUAAAAAGCAUUGAGCAUGUGAUGCUUCGCCAAUGCGGGCGAGCUGACAACGGAUGAGGUGUUAAUCAGCAGGAAAGACAAAGGCCAGGUGAGACCGAGGCAAACGAAACACGCAUCAGCUCGACGAUUCCAAUCAAGACUGCAUUCUUUGCGGAGCUAUUUCAACAAGAGGGUGCUGAGGAAUCGCUCAUGAUUUCCCCUUUUUUCCUGUGUGUGUCUGUGUGUGAGAGCCCAUCCCCCCUUUAGUCCCUGCAGCGAGAGCAGGCGGGCUGGUGGAGUUGGGGGCAGGGCGCCUCCCUUUCUUUCAGCCUCCGGAGCCUGCUGACAGCUGCUCGGGGAGGCCUGGGGGCCUGCUGCUCACCACAGCCACAUCCUGGAAGAUUCAGGAUACAUGCGUGCUCACGUGCGCCAGCGGCUCGGAGCAACGUGAAACAAAAAGCGGCCCCGACAAAGACCAAAGGCCCUGGUGUUUACUCAAUCUGUCCACUUGUGUUAAUAUUGGAGGGAUCCCUCGUGGCCGCGAGAGGGACAGGACACACAAACGCGCCGUUUAAAGGUUUAAGUCCAUCACAAGCCGACGGCUGCUUCCUGUCGGCGGCCCAAGCUCUAAUUACCCGGGUCCCCGCGGCUUGACCUGUAGGCUGUCACGUCUAAAGCGCUAACCGCGCCCAGGUUGUGGAGAAAUGUUUGUAGUCUCCUCGUGGAAUUGCGUGGCGGGAGUUUGGAAGAGGCCAUGUGUGGCAAUGAUGAGAUUAGCAAAAAUAAAACAAAAUAUUUCACAUUAUAUGCUUGAUCAGAGCUAGAAUCAUCAUUGGUGGUGUUUGUUAACCUUAUGAUAUUAUAUAUGCAAAGAUUAAGCGAGGCUGCGACCAGAUAUUGAUGCCACUAAAUGUGUUCACGUGUUUAACUUGGAUCAAUAGAGAAAGUAGAAGCCUGACCGGCUAACUUCAACUGUCCAUACCGAUGACAGGAGUGAGAAAUGUCUCUGAGGCAUCAAGGACAAGAGGAGGAGAUAACUGCCGCGUGCAGGGCUGUUGGAUGCGUGCCAAGGGUUCUGCUUUUGAAGCCACCGUGCCAUUUGCACAGUGUCUCCGGGGACUGGUGGAAGACGCCAAAUGAACCACAACACGCCAGGCUGGGUGGGGAUCAUUUUCCUCAUGACUGUACAGCUUUGCGGAGCACAUUUCCACACACCACGAGCAAAGGCAUCCUCUGCGGUGUUCAGAUGGAAGUGUGUUUGUGAGAUGAUCUUUUUAGCUCGAGCUCAUAAAAGUCCGUCCUCAGAGAAGUCCAAAUGAACCAAAGACAAUUUUACCUCAUCAUUUUGACAAAGCAUGAAGAAACGCUGUGUUAACACGAGUAUUAGUCUCACUAUUUGUACACUCACUUCCUCUGCGGCUCAUUCGGUCUGCUGUGCCGCACCUCCGUGAGUAAUCUCAAGUCCCGGAAAAUAUUCCCAUUACCAUUCACAUCAUGUUACCGCUAACACGGGACCACCCAAAGGGCCUAAUCUGGGGUACACAGCAGACAUGUGGUCUGAACAAUGUCGAGGCAGGUUUGACUUUCUUAGCCCUGGCUCUCCUCCUGCGAGCAUCCCCUCACACAGACAGGCCAGGCUUCCUCCACAGUUAAUUACGGCCACAGCUUGCAUGGAGGCAUAUCAUUAGCAGUAAUUGCACACGGCAUCCCAUUGCCAUGUGCCUCCCUUUUCUUUUUUUUUUCCCCCUGUCCCAGAUUUACGCUGCACUGAUCCAUGAAGGAAGAGUGCAGCCCUCCACAUGCUCUGAAUGGACAACUACAAGGCUUUUGUGCGCGAGCGUGGGCUCGGAAAUACAGCAGCGAGUCCGGGAACAGGGCUUCAGAGAGGGCUGGAUGCAGAUAAAAAAAAAAAAGGAAUAGCCACAUGUGGAUAGAUGGCACAUUCAGCUGCAGGAAAUACAGGGAUUAGCGUGAGGCGGAGGGUGUUUGUUGUGUAAGCAAGUAAAAAGGUGCAGGUUUUUAUAUCAACAGCGGGCGCAGGUUGAAGAACCGGUCGGCACACGUUGAAGCAUAAACUCAGUUUCAAAUCAAAACACAAUAAGCCGGUUUCAUCUCUGCAGCCUGUGCAGAUGGAAAGGAGUGGGCGGCUGUAGCACGCCACCGCACACCACCUGUACGGACUGCUGGGCUUACGUAACAUCUAGGGGGGGGGGGGUCGAGCGCUUCAGAGAGUUCUCUUCAGUCUUCCAUCUCCAACAAUCCUGGUGUUACAUACGACUCAUAACGGUCCAUAGCACAGCAUUGAUGCUAGUUCGACGAUUUAAGAGACAGAACACAAGCAAAUGAAGAAAGACGGGCGCAACAUUAAGGAAAGAUACAGUCUGAGGAAAUAAAAUGAGUAAAUUAAGCUCAAGUGUUCGUAUGCUUUCACAUGGGUGAAUGUCCACAUUGCUAAUGAAUAAAAGGUCUUAGAAUCGCAGAUAUCGUUUGCAUGUGAAUGCCAACAUGUCGCUUGUGAUUAAACGUGAGCAGACGUUUUCUCCCUUCCAGGCCUGGAGGGAAACCACAGUGGAAGGCUGCGUUGGCUCCUCCUCAGUAAAAGCUGCCCUCCAGAAUGGUAAACCUCCCUCCGCUGCGCUCCAUCCCCCCACCGGGCCUCACCUGCCGGCGCACGCAGCCAAACACGGACCGGGAUAGCGAGGACUUGCCAGCAGUAGGAAAACCAAUAAAGCUGUAAUAAACAGAGUUUGUUUGAGUUUAUCUGAAGUAUAAAUCAGAGCUCUGUUUGCAGCAGGACACUGACCUUUAACCAUGAAUAACAGAUUC